AGUGAACGCUGGCGGUAGGCCUACACAUGCACGUCGAACGGCAGCACAGUAAGAGCUUGCUCUGACGGGUGGCGAGUGGCGGACGGGUGAGGAAUACAGCGGAAUCUACUUUUUCGUGGGGGAGAACGUAGGGAAACUUACGCUAAUACCGCAUACGACCUACGGGUGAAAGCAGGGGAUCUUCGGACCUUGCGCGAUUGAAUGAGCCGAUGUCGGAUUAGCUAGUUGGCGGGGUAAAGGCCCACCAAGGCGACGAUCCGUAGCUGGUCUGAGAGGAUGAUCAGCCACACUGGAACUGAGACACGGUCCAGACUCCUACGGGAGGCAGCAGUGGGGAAUAUUGGACAAUGGGCGCAAGCCUGAUCCAGCCAUACCGCGUGGGUGAAGAAGGCCCUCGGGUUGUAAAGCCCUUUUGUUGGGAAAGAAAAGCAGCAGGUUAAUACCCCGCUGUUCUGACGGUACCCAAAGAAUAAGCACCGGCUAACUUCGUG
RNAcentral lists this ribosomal RNA (491 nucleotides) under uncultured bacterium. RNAcentral's name for it is "partial 16S ribosomal RNA". It matches the Rfam family "Bacterial small subunit ribosomal RNA", at positions 29 to 507 of the family's 1533-position model. The record is from RNAcentral.